UGUGAUCUCAAACUUGAACGCACUUGUGGUCCCGGUAUUCCUGGGAGCAUGUCUGUUAGAGUGUCAGAAAAACGUANUCAUCCAAGUUUUCUUGGUUGGUGUUUGGUGAGUGCGGUGCCUACCCGGCACGGCCUCACUGGAGUGGCUCUUUCUUGCGAAUCACUCUGCUAAUGAGUUGAUUCUUCCCCCAUGGUGUUUGGCUCGUGCGAGAUGCAAAUCCGGCCAGGCUGGGCGGUGUGGUUGGAGGUUGUGGAAACUAUUCCUCUAUCCAAUUACUGCCACUGUUCUCAUUGGGGAGGAAUUAGCUCUGGAGUGGUUUAUUUGGCAAUUGAUCCCUGCAAUGAAGGCCGCUAUAACACCCUGUGUGGUAUGUGCUGUGCCGCCAUUGCCUACCAUCUGAUCUCUACUCAGACAAGAGGACCCGCUGAAUUUAAGCAUAUAACUAAGCGGAGGAAAAGAAGCCAAUUAGGAUCCCCCCAGUAAGGGCGACUGAAGCGGGAUUAGCUCACAGUGUGAAUUGGUGCUGCUUAGCACUGAAUUGUGGUCUGUGGACAUGGGCAUUCGUAGUGCCAGGCCAAGUUUCUUGGAAAAGAACAGCUGAGAGGGUGAUACUCCCGUCUGCCUGGCCAACAAGCCCGUGUCAAAGAGUCGAGUUGUUUGGGAUUGCAGCUCUAAGCGGGUGGUAAAUUCCAUCUAAAGCUAAAUAUUGGUGGGAGACCGACAGCGCACAAGUACCGUGAGGGAAAGAUGCAAAGGACUUUGAAAAGAGAGUUAAAGAGUACCUGAAAUUGCUGAAACGG
This 800-nucleotide ribosomal RNA is filed under the name uncultured diatom. Its description in RNAcentral is "eukaryotic LSU rRNA". The stretch from base 398 to 800 matches the Rfam family "Eukaryotic large subunit ribosomal RNA", at positions 1 to 416 of the family's 3401-position model. The record is from RNAcentral. Lineage: Eukaryota; Bacillariophyta.